Long non-coding RNA from Gouania willdenowi (blunt-snouted clingfish), 3204 nucleotides. Ensembl annotates it as fibrous sheath CABYR-binding protein-like. The record is from Ensembl. Lineage: Eukaryota; Metazoa; Chordata; Actinopteri; Blenniiformes; Gobiesocidae.
CUUUACUGUAUGGGACAGGAAGGCAGCUGGCUUGCAUGCUCUCACACACACAUCCAGAGGGAAAUAAUGGUGCACAGAUACUUCUAGGAACUGGGAACAAACAAGCUGUCCAUGUGUUCACACUUUGGCAGCAGAUACAUUCUCAACUAAGGACUUUUUUAAGUUAACUUGCUUUUGUUAUCAUUGAUCCCUUUUCUUUAUUUCUACAAAGUUUUGAAAGGUUGUAAACAUGGGGUGCUCCUCUUCCAGUGCACAGACUGUGGACCAAGAAAAAAGACCAGGCACAAAGCCUGAGGAGUUCAAUGGCAGCACAGAAGCUUUGAAAAAUGGCUUCAUUGCAGAAGAUGCUCAAACCAUUGAGGACCAAAUGCAGUUGCCAGUGCAGACUGCCAUACCAAAUGGUUUACAACUGGGUACAGAGGAUGUGAUGGAGGUUGUGUUGGUGGCCCUUGAAGCCCAGGAGGAUCUUGGUUCUGGGGAGGAUCUCAUAGCUGCUUCAGUGUCACAGGAAGAACCUGCAGCUCUUGAAAAGCCACCUGUGGAGGUUGCAGUUUUGGCUCCAGAAGGGGAUGCUGUUGAAGUGGAGGUUGCUGUGGCAGCAGUUGAAGCACCUUCAGUGGAGGAAGAAGCUCCUGUAGAAACUGGACUGAUGGAAAGCACAGAUAUUGUUGAACCCUCUGCUGAUGAAGAUGUGGAGGCAGUGCAUGAAGAGGCUCCUUCUCUGAUAGAAACACUAAUGCCAUCAGACACAGUAGCUGAGGUCCAGGCCAAAGUGGAAGUAGCUACUGAGCCCUCACAGGAGAUAGUUGCUGAGGCUUCAACAGAAGAAGCUCCUGUAGCUUCUUCAGAAGUAGAGGCCGAAACCUUGAAUGAAGUAGCCGCUGAAGUUCCUACAGAGGAAGCUCCUGUGGUUCAUACAGAGGAACCUACGGAUGUUCCUAAAGAAGAAGAAGCCCAGUCUCCUCCAGAAGAAGCUCCUACCGAUACCUCCAAUGAAGAAGAAGCUCAGGUACCUCCAGAGGUAGCUCUUACAGAGCCAGCUCCUGUGGCUUCUUCAGAAGUACUGGUUGGUUCCUCUGAAGUAGCUCCUGUGGCUCCUGCAGAAGAAGCUCCUGUGGCUCCUGCAGAGGAAGCUCCUGUGGCUCCUGCAGAGGAAGCUCCUGCGGCUCCUACAGAGGAAGCUAUAGAUGCUCCUACAGAAGAAGCAACUGAGGCUACCACAGAAGUAGCUGCUGAGUCUCCAGCAGCAGUUGUCACUGAGGGUUCUGUGGAAGUAUCUGAUGACGUUUCUAAGAACCAAGUUAAAGAAGCUCAACCUCCAGAAUCUUCUGCAGACAUGGCCUUAUCAACAGCAGCUGAGGUAUUGGUAAAAGCUCCAAAUGCUACAGAGAUGAACGCAACUGACGAUUCAAGAGAAGGUGAAGUAUCAACUACCUCGGUGGAGUCUUCAGAGACUGCUGAAGCUUUGAGAACAUUAAUAGACCCCCAGAUUGCUGCAGCGACUGUUCCUAGCCUGGCUGCAGUGAUGGCAGAGGUAGCAUCAGAAGCCAACGUUCCUCCACAAGAAGAGCCAACAAAUGGGACCUCAGCAUCCACUACAGACGUGCUCGUCCCAGUACCCGAGGCCCCGUCAGGACCAGCCAUUGACACAUUGCUGCCUUCAGAACCUCCAGAGGUGACCCUGGCAAUGGAGAGUCCUCAGAGUAUGGAAAUCGAGAAAGCCAAAAAACACGAUUGAGAUGAAAGGAAACCUUGACCAAAGGAACAACUGGUAACCUCCCAAAGAAGACUGGAAAUAACUCAAGGUGACAGGAUGCUGCGAAAGCAGAAAAGACACUAAUUUUUCAUCUUUUACUCAUGAACACUUACUAGUAUGGACAUCAGGAACGCUAAUGCUCAUGUGCCUUAAGGUCUUGUAUUUUUAAAGAGCAUUUGUAUUGAAACUCAGAGACAUCCAGUGCCUCACUGCCACAUGUCACACAUUAGCGCUACUGCAUGAAAACCAAGCUAAGUAGGAAUCUUUGACCAUUGUAGGAAUAAUUAGGUGAUGUGGUACUUAUUUUUCUAAACUCUUUGAUAACAAUAGGAAUGUAAAAUAAUUAAUUCCAUCUUCAAAAGCAUAACUACCAUCCCUAAACGCAGGGAUUGUGUUCAUUGAUUUAGGACUGAGUGCAAUGUUUGGGCAUAUAUAUAUAUUUUUUUUUAUUUAGGGAAUGGGAAGGGAUAAACUCAACUGUGAUUUUAAACCUAUUUUGUUUGUAUGAUUCUUUCUGAAGCCAUUAACCUUGGCUUAAACACUGCUUUUUGGGACAAUAAGCCAAACAAUCUAUGCAGGGCAUAAAGUGACAGGGAUACCAAAACUGGAGGUCUGUGAAGUUAAUACACCAGCAAGUAGUUUUUAAGUCAACAUCAAGUAUUUUAAAGGUCAAGUUGUCAGAAAAAUGCACAUUUUGUACAUUAGUGUUUGUGUUUUAGAGGCGAGGCCUUACUGAGUAAUACUGCACCCAUUACAGCAAUAGUAAAAUCAGAAAUUACUGUGAUGUAGGUUACGUGAAGAUUUGUGUUUUGUGUUAAUCAAUAUGUGAUCACAUGACUAUGCAAAAGAUUAUUGCUCGUGUGUUCGUUAAUUGUUGGAGAAAGCCAUUUUUGUCCAGCUGUGAGCAGCUGGUGGGUGUCUGUUGAACAUGGGGUCAAACUUAGUCAUUCACAUUUAAGGAGAUUUAUUCUGAAAUUACUUCAAACUGAGAUGCAUUUUGCCUUUAGUCUUUGGCAUUGCUUUUAGUUGCAAAGCUUGACUCAGCUUGAUUUAAAUAUGAGCUGAAGUCACUCAGAAUAGUUUAAUUUACACUUCUUUGAGAGUCUUUUCAUGGAAACUAAUAGACUCAUUUGCCUGUUUUAAUCCACUUUGUGAUUUGUUUGGGCUUUCAGUAUUAACAAUGAAUAAUGACAGUAGUUUAUUAGCCUCUGUCUUACCAAAGAACAACAUUUGGACCACAACACAAGUGUAGCCAGCCAGGACAAAGCCUAGUAUUUUGCCUUUGAAUUAAUUAAAAGUUAAGGUGAUCAUUUUGGUUUAAUGAAUGCUGUGGGAACCCCAUAACCUUUUUUCUCUCUGUAAUAUAUAUUUUCUAUUGUUAUUAAGAACUUUUACUACUUUAUAGUGUACAGAAUAAAGUUUAUCUCACAAAGUGUGCUUGCUUCUGU